CUUGACAUCCAGAGAAUUUAGCAGAGAUGCUUUAGUGCCUUCGGGAACUCUGAGACAGGUGCUGCACGGCUGUCGUCAGCUCGUGUUGUGAAAUGUUGGGUUAAGUCCCGNAACGAGCGCAACCCUUAUCCUUUGUUGCCAGCACGUAAUGGUGGGAACUCAAAGGAGACUGCCGGUGAUAAACCGGAGGAAGGUGGGGAUGACGUCAAGUCAUCAUGGCCCUUACGAGUAGGGCUACACACGUGCUACAAUGGCGCAUACAAAGAGAAGCGACCUCGCGAGAGCAAGCGGACCUCAUAAAGUGCGUCGUAGUCCGGAUUGGAGUCUGCAACUCGACUCCAUGAAGUCGGAAUCGCUAGUAAUCGUAAAUCAGAAUGUUACGGUGAAUACGUUCCCGGGCCUUGUACACACCGCCCGUCACACCAUGGGAGUGGGUUGCAAAAGAAGUAGAUAGCUUAACCUUCGGGAGGGCGUUUACCACUUUGUGAUUCAUGACUGGGGUGAAGUCGUAACAAGGUAGGCGUAGUGCU
This 530-nucleotide ribosomal RNA is filed under the name uncultured bacterium. RNAcentral's name for it is "bacterial SSU rRNA". It matches the Rfam family "Bacterial small subunit ribosomal RNA", at positions 980 to 1509 of the family's 1533-position model. The record is from RNAcentral.